CCUACGGGUGGCUGCAGUGGGGAAUAUUGGACAAUGGGGGAAACCCUGAUCCAGCAAUGCCGCGUGAAUGAAGAAGGCCUUAGGGUUGUAAAGUUCUUUUGUCCGUGACGAUAAUGACGGUAGCGGACGAAUAAGCCCUGGCUAACUCUGUGCCAGCAGCCGCGGUAAUACAGAGAGGGCAAGCGUUGUCCGGAAUGACUGGGCGUAAAGCGCGCGCAGGCGGUCUUUUAAGUUGGGUGUGAAAUCCCCGGGCUUAACCUGGGAACUGCAUUCGAUACUGGAAGACUAGAGGCCGAGAGAGGAAAGCGGAAUGACGAGUGUAGAGGUGAAAUUCGUAGAUAUUCGUCGGAACACCAGAGGCGAAGGCGGCUUUCUGGCUCGGACCUGACGCUCAGGCGCGAAAGCGUGGGGAGCAAACAGGAUUAGAUACCCCAGUAGUC
This 440-nucleotide ribosomal RNA is filed under the name uncultured bacterium. Its description in RNAcentral is "bacterial SSU rRNA". It matches the Rfam family "Bacterial small subunit ribosomal RNA", at positions 338 to 795 of the family's 1533-position model. The record is from RNAcentral.